UCUCCCUACGGGAGGCAGCAGUGGGGAAUAUUGGGCAAUGGGCGCAAGCCUGACCCAGCAACGCCGCGUGAAGGAAGAAGGCUUUCGGGUUGUAAACUUCUUUUAUCAGGGACGAAGCAAGUGACGGUACCUGAUGAAUAAGCCACGGCUAACUAAGUGCCAGCAGCCGCGGUAAUACGUAGGGGGCGAGCGUUGUCCGGAAUUACUGGGCGUAAAGAGAGCGUAGGCGGCACUACAA
RNAcentral lists this ribosomal RNA (238 nucleotides) under uncultured bacterium. RNAcentral's name for it is "partial 16S ribosomal RNA". It matches the Rfam family "Bacterial small subunit ribosomal RNA", at positions 335 to 586 of the family's 1533-position model. The record is from RNAcentral.